GGUGAUUCUCAGGUGACACACCCCAGAAUCGGGCUCCCUCCUCUCUGGUUCCGGAUGCAUCACCAGAGAACCGCA
Molecule: non-coding RNA, 75 nt
Organism: Myotis lucifugus (little brown bat)
Lineage: Eukaryota; Metazoa; Chordata; Mammalia; Chiroptera; Vespertilionidae
Source: Rfam